This 406-nucleotide ribosomal RNA is filed under the name uncultured bacterium. RNAcentral describes it as "partial 16S ribosomal RNA". It matches the Rfam family "Bacterial small subunit ribosomal RNA", at positions 29 to 526 of the family's 1533-position model. The record is from RNAcentral.
AUUGAACGCUGGCGGCAGGCUUAACACAUGCAAGUCGAGCGAGCGGCGGACGGGUGAGUAAUGUCUGGGAAACUGCCUGAUGGAGGGGGAUAACUACUGGAAACGGUAGCUAAUACCGCAUACCCUCAGAUGUGCCCAGAUGGGAUUAGCUAGUAGGUGGGGUAAUGGCUCCCCUAGGCGACGAUCCCUAGCUGGUCUGAGAGGAUGACCAGCCAAACGGGAACUGAGCCACGGCCCCGACUCCUACGGGAGGCAGCAGUGGGGAAUAUUGCACAAUGGGCGAAAGCCGGAUGCAGCCAGGCCGCGUGUGGGAAGAAGGCCUUCGGGUUGUAAAGCACGUUCAGCGAGGAGGCGUUACUCGCAGAAGAAGCAACGGCUAACUCCGUGCCAGCAGCCGCGGUAAUUC